UUUACUAGAUACAAAUGAAGAAAAGUAGAGCAACUGACAAGAUGCGUCCAGCCGUCCAUAUAAACCAAUAAAAACUGUUAAUUUCUCCACAAACAGUCUUGGGGAUUGAAGUUAUUUUGAAUAUUAGUGAUACAAACAGACAGAAAAUUUAGGUGAAGGAAAAAAUACCCAAAUGGUAUUGGGGAAACAGAUACAAACAAUCUUGGGGGAAAACAAAAAAAAAUACCCAAAUGGUGAAGGAACCAAAGAUGUCUUAUGGAGUCUUAUCUGGAAGUCGUCGGAAUGGACUGGAGGUCUAUCCCUCACCACUGAUCGCCGGACAGGAAGUAUCGCCCUCGCCGGAUGGAAGUAUCGCUCUCGCCGGUCCAGACUCUCAGUCAAAACUCGUUGUUGGUCACGGAAUCAACUCGCCGCUUGCCCCUAGCCUCUCACUAGUUGGAAUCACCGGAGGUGGGGGUGGGAGAAAAACACGAUUUGGGUAGAAGAAAUAAAGGAUUUAACUUUUAAGGCUUGAUCUAUAUCUAUUUUUUAAUUUAGGAGUUUUGGUUUAUUUAUAAUUUUUGAAUAUUAUAUUUUACAAUUUACACGUUUUGUAAUUUUUUACUGGUUUUGAUUUAUUUGCAAUUUUUUAACUUAACACAAUUUUUUAGUAGUUUACUUUGCACACAUACACGAAUUUUGAUUCUCAACAAAAUUAUUCUUUGAUUUAAUAGUGGGAGAAAAAUACGAUAUUAAUUUUAUUAUUGUUAAACAAUAUUAAUUACACCAACGAUAUAAUUCCAAGUCAAAUGACUUAUUUAGUCAUUCAAUGGGGGUAUUGAAGUGUUUCAUUCACCUCAUGGUAUAUAUUUAUUCCAAAGAAAAUAUGCACUGGGUAUUUUAGAAGAAUCUGAUCUUUCUGGAGCAAAACCAUCUAAAAUUUCAAUGGAAAGACAUAUAAAUUUAAAAAAUGAUAAAUCCACAUUAAUUAAAAACCCAACAUUUUAUAGGAAGAUGGUCGGGAAACUGAUCUACCUUAAUAUAAUAAGGCAAGAUCUAAGUUUUACAGUAAAUUGGUUAAACCAGUUUAUGCAUGAACCAAGAGAGGUUCAUUUUAAAGUCCUUUUUAAACUAAUAAGGUUCAUUAAGAAGGCUCCUGGAAAAGGACUUCUAUAUAAUAAGAAUGAAAACAUGAUGAUUUAAAGGUAUUGUGAUGCUGAUUGGGCAGCAUGCCAAAUUAACAGGAAAUCCUUGACAGACUUUUGAUUUAUGCUAGGAGACUCAUUAAUUUCAUGGAAAACCAAGAAACAAAAUACAAUAGCCAGAUCAUCAUGUGUGAAAGAGUAUAGAGCCAUAGCUCAAACAACUUGUAAAAUUGUAUAGAUUCAUCAAUUAAUGGACGAAUUAAAAAUAAUAAAACCCACAAAUCUCUAUUUUGACAAUAGAUCAGUCAUACAUCUGACAAAUAAUCCAGUUUUUCAUGAAAGAACAAAACACAUAAAAGUAGUUGUCAUUUCGUAAGAGAAAUGAUAAAUCAAAAGAAAAUUUCAUUAAAGCAAAUUGGGACUAAGUUUCAACCUGUUGAUUUUCUAACAAAAACACUUGGUGAAAAAGAGAUCACCUCAUUCCAUUUCAAACUUGGAAUAUUGAAUAUACAUUUCAAGGCUUGAGGGGGAGUAAAGAAAUUAAAGAGCUAAACCUGUAAAUCACAUUUAUAAUCUGUCUUAACUCUAUAUAUAUGAUUUCAUGACUUAUGUGAGAUUAUGUGUUUAAGUUAACUAUGCAAGUAAAUAAUCCAAGACUGACAUAAGUUAUAACAGAUUAACUUGAGGUCAAUAGAGAAAAAGUUUGAAUAAAACGUAUGCGAAUGUUAUAACUAGAAAACUUGGGGUAUAGACCGUAAAAGUUUCAAUAAACAUAUGAAUGAGCCGAUCGGAUAAAAGGCCAGUACUGGGCUGAAUUAAUUAAUUAAAUAUGUAAUAAAUAAUUAGUUAAUUCAGUUAAUGUUAAUAAAUGAAUUAAUGUAAUAUAUAAUUAGUUAAUUCAGUUAGUGUUAAUGUAUUAUAAAACAAAGGUUGUAAUAUUUGAUUAAUCAAUGAAUUGAAUACACUGGUUAAAGUCUAAGCCUACUUCCAUCUAAACACAUAACCAACCCUAGGCAUCUGUUAGUACGAGGAACCCUAGAGUUUCCCCCAAUUCUUGUGUACAGAGCUCUCGUCCAAUUUCGGUAACCACUGAUUCCAAUUCUCCAGGAAAGCUACCCGCGCGCAGCUUUAAUACGUACGUGGGUGUGUGUUGGAAUUCAAUUAAAUAAGUAAUCAUAAUGUGGAUCAAUUUUUCUAACAUUGUAACCUAAUUGAUCUUCUCCCAAAUGAUUAUAAUUAAGAUCAGGAUCAUUCUUGGUAUUCUUCUCCACCAGAUGCAUAUUCAUGUUGAACGAUGAUGAAGGUUGAUAAGAAUGUUGACCACCACCGAGUUGUUGUUGCAUAUUCAUCGAAUGUUGAUGAUGACCCAUCUCAUUCAAAUUCAUUACAGACGUUUCGGCUUGACUACUGGCAUCCAAUUGGUAAUCUUGGCUGUUAAACCCGAAAAAGUCAGAAAAAUUCACUGAAUCUAUGUUGUACCUAGAUGUAUCCCUGAAUAAUACGAUAAAUAUAACAAGGCAUGAUCUAAGUUUUGCAGUAAACUGGUUAAGCCAGUUUAUGCAUGAACCAAGAGAGGUUCAUCUUAAAGUACUUUUAAACUAAUAAGGUUCAUUAAGAAUGUUUCUGGACAAGGACUUCUAUACAAUAAGAAUGGAAACGUGAUGAUUAAAAGGUAUUGUGAUGUUGAUUCAGUAGCCUGCCAAAUUAGCAGGAAAUCCUUAACAGGCUUUUGUAUUAUGCUAGGAGACUCAUUAAUUUCAUGAAAAACCAAGAAACAAAAUACAAUAGACAAAUCAUCAUGUGAGGAAGAGUAUAGAGCCAUAACUUAAACAACUUGUGAAAUUGUAUAGAUUCAUCAAUUAAUGGAUGAAUUAAAAAUAAAAAUAAUAAACCCCACAGAUCUCUAUUGUGACAAUAGAUCAGCCAUACAUCUGGCAAAUAAUCCAGUUUUUCAUGAAAAAACAAAGAACAUAGAAGUAAUCUGUCUUAACUCUGUAAAUAUGAUUUUCAGGACUUAUAUGAGAUUAUGUGUUUAAGUUAACUAUGCAAGUAAAUAACCCAAGACUGACAUAAGUUAUAACAGAUAAACUUGAGGUCAAUAGAGAAAAAGUUUCAAUAAAACGUAUGUGAAUGUUAUAACAAGAAAGCUUGGGGUAUAGAUCGCAAAACAUUCAAUAAAUAUAUGAAUGAGCCGAUCGAAUAAAAGGCCAGGCUAGCCAGCACUGGGCUGAAUUAAUUAGUUAAAUAUGUAAUAAAUAAUUAGUUAAUUCAGUUAGUGUUAAUAAUUGAAUUAAUGUAAUAUGUAAUUAGUUAAUUUAGUUAGUGUUAAUGUAUUAUAAAACAAAGGUUGUAAUCUUUGAUUAAUCAAUGAAUUGAAUACACUGCUUAAAGUCUAAACCUACUUCAUGCUAAACACCAAACGAACCCUAGACAUCUGUUAGUACGAGGAAUCUUAGAGUUCUUCCCAAUUCUUGUGUACAGAGCUCUCGUCCAAUUCAAGCCACCACUGAUUCUAAUCCUCCAGGAAAGCUACCCGCGCACAGCUUUAAAACAUAUGUGGGUGCGUGUUUGAAUUUAAUUAAAUAAAUAAUCAUAAUGCGAAUCAAUUUGUCUAACAUCUUAACCUGAUUGAUCUUUUCCCAAAUGAUUAUAAUUAAGAUCAGGAUCAUUCUUGUCACUCUUCUCCACCUACUGCGUAUUCAUGUUGAACGAUGAUGAAGGUUGCUAAGAAUGUUGACCACCACCGAGUUGCUGCUGCAUAUUCAUCGAAUGCUGAUGAUGACCCAUCUCAUUCAAAUUCAUUACAGCCGUUUCGACUUGGCUACUGCCAUCCAAUUGGUAAUCUUGGGUGUUAAUCCCGAAAAAAUCAGAAAAAUUCACUAGAUCUAUGUUGUACCUAGACGUAUCCCUGAAUAAUGAAUCAAUCAAUCAAUCAUAGAGUUAUCAAAAUACCCAAUUGAAAUCAAACUAUAUUAUGUAUGUUAAUUACUUGUGAUCGAGAGGAGUGUUAUUUUUGAUAGGACGAGGAGUGUUAUUUUGCAUAGGACGAGGAGUGUUAUUUUGCAUAGGACGAGGAGUGUUAUUUUGCAUAGGACGAGGAACAUGUGUAUCGUUCUGAGCAGCGAGAGGAAAAUUAUGAUUAGUAACAUUUGGUAACAGCAUGGUAUGUUCAACAUUGAGCAUGGUGUGUUGAGCGUUGUUCUGAAUCCAUGGCAUUGGUGGUUGGGCCGCCAUAUGCAUAGAUUGCAUUCCACCUUGAAACAGAUUGGAUGAACUUCCCUCCAUGUUCGCUGGAUGUAUGUUGUACCUAGAUAUAUCCCUGAAAAAUCAGUCAAUCAAUCAUAUAGUUAUCAAAAUACCCAAUUGAAAUCGAACUAUAUUAUGUAAGUUAAUUACUUGUGAUCGAGAGGAGUCUUAUUUUGCAUAGGACGAGGAACAUGUAUAUCGUUCUGAGCAGCCAGAGGAAAAUUAUGAUUAGUAACAUGUGGUAGCUGCAUGUUAUGUUGAACAUUGAGUAUGGUGUAUUGAGCGUUAUUCUGAAUCCAUGGCAUCGGUGGUUGGGCCGCCGACAUAUGCAUAGAUUGCAUUCCACCUUGAAACUGAUUGGAUGAACUUCCUUCCAUGUUCGCUGGAUCUAUGCUGUACUUAUAUGUAUCUCUGAAUAAUCAAUCAAUCAAUCAUAAAGUUAUCAAAAUACCCAAUUGAAAUCGAACUAUAUUAUGUAAGUUAAUUACUUGUGAUCGAGAGGAGUGCUAUUUUGCAUAGGACGAGGAACAUGUGUAUCGUUCUGAGCAGCGAGAUAAACAUUAUGACUAGUAACAUUUGGUAGCUUGUUGGUGUGUUGAGCGUUGUUCUGAAUCCAUGGCAUAGGUGGUUGGGCCGCCAUAAGAAUAGAUUGCAUUCCACCUUGAAACUGAUUGGAUGAACUUCCCUCCAUGUUCGCAAAGUUGAUUCGAUCACACAUUUCCUGCAAAUGGAUCGAUGAUCAGAUUUAAGUAGGAUGAUACAUAAGGUUAGGAGUGCAAAUUAAUUAACCUUCUGCGCAUCAAGAUCAUUCAAAGCAUGUCUGAGAUAAUCUUCAAUUCUAGUAAUAUGUUCUAGUUUAUCGACACUUUCCGGUUUAACCCAAAAACUGUGUUACAUCAAUCCAAUCGUAUUUAUUAAUACAUGAAAUAAAUUCAUCAAACCAAAUGAUUAGGGAAAGGAAUAUGCCUGAGUCGAUUCUGAUAUUCCAAUAAUUUUCUUUGUAACAUUCUCAUGUGAUUUCCCAUAUUUUCGAUCGAAUUUGUGCUGCAGAAAAAUCACAAUAUCAUAUUUAAAAUGCAAAACUACAUCCUUAAUUUCUAACUAAACAUACCUUGAUCCUACAAAGUCCUGAAUGUUGACAUCGUGAUCCAAUUUUUUGAACGUUUUCUUGAGCACCUUCAUCAUAGUUUGGUAUAUCUAGGGUUAAUUAGAAUCAAUUUUACGUAAUAACAUGACAUUUUUAUUAAGACUCGAUCGAGACUUACUUCAAGACUUUCUAGCUUUCUGUUUCAUUCACAUAUGCAUGCAGCAGAUUCAAUAUUAGAUCAGGAAAAAAAGGGUUCUCUAAUUUAUAUUAAUAACCAGGAAUUCGAUGAUCAAAUGGGAUAAAAAUACAACCUCUUGGCUCUUUCUUGCGGUGUUUGCUGAGAAAACUUGUGGAGAACUUGGUCCAUAGUGCUGAUCGAUCAACGGAUUUUAAGACGUAGAAUAUUUGUUAUGAUACAUGUUGAAAUAUUUAUAUAUAUAUAUCAUACGGUGUUAAUUAGUAUAUAUAAAAGAAUUUCAAACCUAUUUUCUCCAAGACACAAUAUGGCUUUUCCGGCCGGCGGGAACAUGAGAAGUGCAAGAUCAAUGUCACAUAGAAUUGAAAGUUCCGUUGCCUUUUUGACGAUUCCAGCUCUUCGUUUUGAAAAAGUAACCUGUCGACCACCUGCAUUCUCCAAUCUCUUGAUCUUCAAUUUCGCCCUUCCCAUACCUAAAGAUUAAAGAUUGAACAAGAAGUUUGAAGAGAUCGAUGCAAGAACCAAGAAUGCCAAUAUCUGAUGACUAAAGAUUGAAAAAUGGAAUGAAGGGGGAAUAUUAUAUAUAUUGUGUAUAUACAUAUAAUCUUUUCAUAUUUAACUUUUUAGCUAUUUAAAUUUAGGGUAGGAAGAUUUUACACAAGCCACCAUUUUCCGACUUUUCGAUGGAGGAAAUUAAAUGGGAAGAAACAAAGAUAUUAAUUUUAUUAUUGUUACACAUUAAUUUUAUAAUUCAAUGUCAAAUGACUUAUUUAGUCAUUCAAUUGGGGUAUUUAAGUAUCUCAUUCAUUGCAUGACAUAUAUUUAUCCCAAAGAAAAUAUACACUGGGUAUUCUAGAAGAAUCUGGUCUUUCUGGUGCAAAACCAUCUAAAAUUCCAAUAGAAAAACAUAUCGAUUUAAAAAAUGAUAAAUACACAUUAAUAAAAAAUCCAUCCAUCUAUAGGAAGAUGGUUGGGAAACUGAUCUACCUUAAUAAAAUAAGGCCAGAUCUAAAUUUUGCAGUAAACUGGUUAAGCUAGUUUAUGCAUGAACCAAGAAAGGUGCAUCUUAAAGUCCUUUUUUAAACUGAUAAGGUACAUUAAGAAUUCUCCUGACAAGGACUUCGAUAUAAUAAGAAUGGAAAUAUGAUGAUUAAAUAGUAUUGUGAUGCUGAUUCGGCAGGAAGUCCUUGACAGACUUUUGUAUUAUGCUAGGAGACUCAUUAAUUUCAUGGAAAACCAAGAAAUAAAAUACAAUAGCCAAAUCAUCAUGUGAGGAAGAGUAUAGAGUCAUUGCUCAAACAACUUGUGAAAUUGUAUGGAUUCAUCAAUUAAUAGAUGAAUUAUAAAUAAAAAUAAUAAAACCCACAGAUCUCUACCGUGACAAUAGAUCAGCCAUACAUCUGACAAAUAAUCCAGUUUUUCAUGAAAGAACAAAGCACAUAGAAGUACACUACAAAAAAACAGCUUAUUUUUGGCGGCUCACUACUAGGGGCUUAGCUGUUGGCAGGCUACCCUAGUUUGCCGGUUAAUUUCCCUCGUAAGUAAGAGAAAUAAACUGGCGGCUAGGACGCCAGUACCUAUUUCUAUUUUAAGUUACUAGCGGCCUGGCCGCUAGAACCAAUUUCCUCAACGGUCGGGAAAAAUAUUCUGACGGCCUGGCCACCAACAUCCCUUAUUCUCUCAACGGUCGGGAAGAAUUUGCUGGCGGCCUGACCGCCAACUAAUUUUCCCGUUUGUUUUUUUUCAUUUUCUGCCAGCCUGGCCAUCAGAAUUUUUGAAAACUCUAAAAAAUUUCCACUUGCGCCGCCAUGGUUCUACCGUACAAUAUUUCAACUUAAAGGAGUCCUGGCGUUCUGACCGCCAACAUAUGUUAUAUAUAUAUAUAUAUAUAUUCCUAAACUCAUUUCCAAACUUUCUCUCCACUCCUCCCCACUCCUUCUCCGACUAUUCCAGCCGUGGAUCCUCCCCGCCGGUCAUCUUUUCAUGGUAAACACCUGUUAUUUUCAUAUUCUUCAUCUUUUAUUUUUGUUUUUGUUAUUUUUCUUUACCUUCUUCUUCAUUUUUAUUAUUAUCUAUUUCAUUUCUUCUUCUUUAUUUCUUAGUCAUUUGUUCAUUUUUAUCUUGGGGAAUUAUAUGUAUAUGAUGUUUUAUGUAUUUGUGGGUUUGAUUUGGGAAUUUGAUGAUGUUAUGUAUAUGAUGUUUAAGUUUUAGGGUUUUAUUUUUUGUAUUUGGGUCAAAAUAUUAGGGUUUUGAUUUUAUUAUUUAUGGUUUUUAAUUUUUUGUUUUAUAUAUAAUGUUUUUUGUUUUAUGUACUGUUUUUAUUUUUUGUUCAAAUUUUUUGUUUUUUGUUUUUUGUUUUAUUUUAUUUUUAUUUUAGUGUUUUGUUCAAAUUAGUUAGGUUUUGAUGAAGGUUUAUUUUACUGUUUUAUUUAAGGUUUUGAUUUUUAUUGUUCUUAUUAUUUACUGUUUAGGGUUUAGCAUUUAUAAUUUUUAUAUUUUUACUAUUUUUAAUUAGGUUGAUAUGUCAUUAUUUUAGUAUUUUAUUUUACUGUUUUAUGUAAGGUGUUGAUUUUGAUUUUUAUUGUUCAAAUAAUUUUCUGUUCAAAUUGUUCAAUAAAAGUCACUAUGUCGAUUUUGCCGGAGUUGAACUAUAUAUUGUAGGUCUAUCGCUAUGGCUAGAACUAGAUCCAUUUUGUCGCUAUGGCCUUAAUGGAUCGAGAUUCAUUUUGUCGCUAUGGCCUUAAUGAUUCUAUCUCAUCUUGUCGCCAUGGCCUUGAUGAGGAUCAAAAGUCACUCUGUCGUUAUGGCCUUGAUGAGGAUCAAAAGUCACUCUGUCGUUAUGGCCGAAGUUAGACUACAAAAUUCUGUCGCUUUGGUCAGAAUCAGAUUCAUUUUGUCACUUUGGCCUUAAUGGAUCCUGGAUCAUUUUAUCUUUAUGGCCUUAAUGAUCCACUUAACCUUGCUAGGGGGAAUACUUGCGAUACAUGCCUGAUCACAUGAUGUCUUUAGGGGGGAGUACUGCUGAUACAUGACUGAUUACGCCAGUCACUCUCAUAACGCUCCUCAACAGAGACUAGGGUUCCGUUCGCUUUAUAUCUGACCCCCGAAAUGCUCCCACGGUUGCGGAACAAAGGUCGUCAUCAAGUCACCAGUUCUAACUAGUGAGUCGCCGAUUCGGGUUGCCAAAUCGCCGAUUGUAGUGGCAGAUCGCCGAGUUGAGGCCGAGAUAACCAGCACUGACAGGUUGCAGAUCUCGCCCCUCUGAACUCGCCGAUCCUGCCUCUGAAUAGUCGAUUCCCCCCUGAAUUGCUGAUCUCACGACAAUUACUCGUCACCAUCCCGCGCCAUUAAUGUCAUGCCAUUAUGGCCGGUCGCGAUCACCGCCGCGGAGUGCGACCGGAUGGCCCUAUAAAAGGGGUUCUCCGGGAUCAUUCCAAAGCAUCAGUUCCAUCCCAAUCACGGCAUAACACGGAGAGAAUCGCCAAUUCCACACCUAAUUGUCGAGUCCCUCCCAGAAGAUUUGACGUAGAGCGCGCGUCGUGGACUGCAGAGCCUCCGACAUCACCUCGCACCACCGCGAGCCCUUAUAGCAUUUCUCGUGCUUCAUCAACGUUUCUUUAACUUUCAUAUCUUAAUUAUAUCAAAACAAUGAGUUAUUUAUACUUUGAUCCAUAUAUUGAUACUUUAUUAUGAGAAUGUUCUAUUUAGGCUCCAAUAGGGACUUAGUCUUCCUUACACUUUAUGACUUAGGUCAAAAGAUCACUAUCAUCGUAAAUCAUUUUGCCUUAUCGUGACCUACAGUAAUGUAUCCACAUGAAUCUAUCAUCACUUAAAUAACUUAAGACUUAUCAUUGUUAAUAUGUGUAGAUCAUUUACUUGAUAAGAUAACAAAAGAAAUUGCUAACAUUUUCCACCUGCCUUUGUAGUUUUUUUUAUUUUUCGUAAGAGGUGUGAUCGUUUCCCUAGGGAAUGGUGACUAAUCGUAUAUUAUCGUUAUAGUAACAACUGUUUUCCCUCCUUUUACACUUCACCCCUAGAGGUAUUUAUACAAUUUCCCACCGGACUCUGGACCUUGGGUUCUCGGACUAAGACCCGACCUAAAGGACCCGAUAUGCUUGGGACGCAACCCUUGGAAAGCUAACCGUCUGGGCUGACGGAUCCGUCCGGUCGGACUGGCCCAGUCGCGUGAAUACCCUUGGGGCGGCCUGGAUCUUCCUCCUUUGUUCACUUCACUGGGCCUUGCUUCUGGACUCUUGCGUGGGCCUGGGCUGAUGGAUUAUGCGUACAAUCAAGGUGAUCCUCUUUUUCUUCUUCUAACUCCCGUAUUCGGUCCCAAAUAUAUCCCCUUGUGACACUUGUUGCUACAUGUAUCCUUACCUUGACACUUGGUCUUUUACAUGUCGCGACAUCAUUGGGUGGUGGUUGAUAUAACAAGGCACUAAUAAAAAAGUUUGAGUCGGGCUUGAAUUUUAUAUUCAUCUCUGUCUUAAAUUUCUAAAUAACCCUAUUAGGUUUAAAAAAGGAAAGAUAUAAAUAAGUAAAAGGAACCAUUGGAAAUUCAGAAUAAUGUGAUUGGUGGAAUAAAAUGACCUUAAAUACUUGUGGUGGUGUGUGUCCAGCGGAUGAGGACCAAGGGUAUAAAUUAAAAUUGAACCUAGAGAAAAUAAAAUCUUUCACAACUCUUUUUUCCCUCGAUUUUCUCUUCUCUUCUAUUCAUUCCCCUUUCCUUCUCUCCGAUCUUCAAAACUCUACAUUUACCUCUCGUCAUUGGUACUUUCGUCGGAUCUUCUCCGUCUCCAACACUUCACGUUUGUAAUCCCUUCAUGCCGAACCUCAAUGAAUCGUCAUUGCCCUCCACUCCUCAUAAAUUAUCUUCUCAAAUCCUCUCCUCGUCACUCGACUUAGUUCCUCCAUCUCUGUCUCCAAGCACGACUCCAUCUAUACCUGCAAUUCUGUUGCGAGCUCCUAAGUGGAGACAUUUCCGUCGCGGAAUGAUCAUUACUAAAGAGGAGGAUGUCAAUAUCGCAAUUUCUUCGACUGCUACUACCACCAUAUCUUCUACAUUAGAGGUUAGUACAUUUAAAUAUGUAUUUUUUUCCGAUCGUAUCUGGAUAUAGCGGUUUUAUCGAUCUAUGUCGAAUUCUUGAUUUCAAGUAUGUUAUUUUUGUUAGAUCAGAAAUAUCUCUAUUGAAUAGAAUCUCGUCCUGCGUUUUUAUUUGUUUGUUUUUUUGUUAUGAUAUGGUAUUGUUCGUUCGAUGAUUCAACGAUUCAUUGUUCUAGAUUGUUUUUUUGGUUGUUUUCUUAAUUAUACUUAUGUUCUUAUUUUCUUUAUUCUGGUUUAUGUGCUUAGUUUUACACAUCGGAGUCCUUUGAGUUUUUUUUUCAUUUAUCACCAACAAGAAUACAAACACCGGGAAUUGGAUUUUUUUUAAUUAUUUUGAAUAUUUAUUCUCCUACGGGUGAAACAAAUUUAUCAGAUUCAAAAUAACCAUUUUCAAAAUGGUUAUGUGAUGCCUCCUCGUGGACACAGCGAAGAGGUUAGCAACUAUGUAUGUCCACCUGCCAAGCGUCGAAAAACAAAAUUUAAAAAGGAAAAAGGUUGUCCACCUAUCACCCCCAGCAUUUGUUAAAUUCAAUGUGUCAAUAUUUUACAUGUUUCUAAUUUUUGAAUAAAAUGUAUUUCAUUGAAUGUUUUGCAGGUGUUAAAACUACGUUACCUGACGGUUCUAUACCUCCUAUUACUUCUCGUUACGACAACUCUCUGGGUAAGAUUUUGUCUCAAAAUACACUAACAUUGCUUUACCGUUUUUAUAUACAUCGAUCUAUAAUUUAAAUAUGAUCGAUAUUCAUUAGAAUUUUUUAUUAUGGAUUAUCUCUUUUUUUCCCAGGAUUAUUGACCAAAAAAUUUAUCGACUUACUUAGAGAAUCCAAAGAUGGCACUCUUGACCUGAAUAAUGCGGCAGAACAUUUGGCUGUAUAAUUUAGAAUUUUUAUCUUCAUUUAACUUAUAGCACCGGAAUGCAUUUAUUUUUGUAGAAUUGAACCGUUUCUUGUAUAAUUGUCAGGUUCAGAAAAGGAGGAUAUAUGAUAUAACAAACGUUCUUCAAGGAGUUGGUAUGAUUGAAAAGAACAUGAAAAACAAGAUAAAAUUGAGGUAAUAACCACAAUUUUUUUCAAUUUGUAUACCAUUGAUUAAAAUAUGCGAAGCAACAAUUUUCAACGAUAUGUUUCUGUCGUCAUAGUGGAUUUGAAGCGAUAGUAAUGCCAAAGGUGCUACAGGAAUAUAUGACUUCUCUGCAAGUAAACAUUUUCUAUUAUAUUGCUUCUUAUUUGUUAUGUUUAUGAUUUUCUAUUUUUCUGAACCUCUUUAAAAAAAAUCGAUUGAUUUUAAAUGCAUGAGAAUAAGAAACCCUAAUACAUUAUCUUUUUUCUUUACAUAUAUAUAUAUAUACACAAAUGAAUAAAAUAGGUGAUCUUUUCUGAUCUAAAUAUUUAACAAUCCUCAAUUUCAUAUUGUUCCUCUAAACUAAAAGCAUUAGUUGUAUGACUGAUAGCAAAAUCUUUUUUGAUAACCAUUAAAUUUAAUUAUGGUUUUGGGGUAUGUACUGAAUAAAAUGGAAACCUAUGACACAUGUGGAGAAUAAGUGCUUAUUGAGCAAUUUUUUGUGUUAGAGUUUGAUUUGUUGGAGAAUGCUCUCCACCACCUGCAACACCCUAUUUAAUUUCUUUCUUUUUGCUCUCCAACAGAUGAAUAGUGAAACCCUUCACUUAAUCUGUCCCUUAUCUAGUGUACAUGUUGCAGGUGGUGGAGAGCAUUCGUGUUGAUUCAGUCAUUAAAAAUUUCAAAUAAAAUUAAAUACAAUCAGAAAUUUAACAACUAUCCAAAUGAUUUAAAAUCCAUGGUAUCUCCUUCAUAGUUCUUCUACCCUAAUAUAGUGUGGUUAUGUGCAUCCUCGCUAUAUUUGGAUGAAAUCGGUAAAUUGCAACUUCAUUUCACCUUUCAGUCCGCAAUUUUCAUUGUUCUAUGUAUCCUCUGUCAAAUACAUACCUCUUGAGUCUUCUUUAUAUCAUAUUAUUUAGUAUCCAGCAAAUGGGAUUUACAAUUUUACCUUUAUAUGUAAAAUUCAUAAUCUUGAUAUAUUGCUAGCUAGCUUGAUUCAGCUUCAAGCAUGAAUUAUAGUAAAGUAUUAUUGUUUUUAACCCUUUCUUAUUACCAGGCAGAAAAUGAAAGUCUCUCUGCAGAAGAAUGUAGACUAGACGAAAUGAUAAGGUACAUGGUACAUUUUUUUCUUCUAAAAAAAUCAUUUGCAAAAUCUUUUUAAUGAACUAACCACUUUGUUGUUUUGUAGAAAAAAAGAAGAAGAAUUAAAUAUCUUAAGAGAAGAUGUCAAUACUCAAAAGUAUUUUCAAAAUUCUUCAUGCAUUGUUGUUGCUAUCUCAUUUUUAUGACAUGCACGGUUACUAAUAACUUCAUAAAAAAUAUGUUUUCAGAUUGCAGUUCAUCUCUUCUGAAGAAAUAUGUAACCUUCCUUGCUUCAAGGUAUUUGGAUAUCAUCCAUCCCUGAUAUUUCAUACUUGUUGCUUUGGUUGAGAUCAAAUAUUUUUUUUAUUUUUUUCUUAAAUUUGUACUCGAUAACAGAAUGACACACUCCUUGCAAUAAAUGCUCCUCACGGUACAAGUGUAGAAGUUCCUGAUCCAGUUGAGGUACACUGAUUUUAAAACAGAAGAAAAAUACCUGUUGUUGUUAAAAUUAUUAUCACAUUGCUUAUGAUAUAUUAUAUAUUUUCACAGGAUAAGUGUGAGAUGUCAGUGAGAAGUUCUAUGGGUCCUAUUGAUUGUUUUAUACUCAGGUACCACCAGACUCUCCAUUACUUGAACAUAUCAUGAUACUGGCUAUUGUAGGGGAUUUUUUCGGAAAUAAUAUAAUAUUGGUUUGUUUAUAGUAGCAAAAAUGCACCGAAAGCCAUUAUCUGUGACCUAAAUCAGUAUCCACCAGUAAACGAUGUACCAGUUGAAAAUGGCACUCAUUUCGCCGAGGCAGAAUAAUCAUCCAGUAAUUGUAAUAAGACAAAUCUGCUAUAUAGUUAGUAACUGUAAUAAGAAGUUGUGUUAGUAAAUAAUAUAGUUAGUGACUAAACAUGUGCUAUAUAACUCAAUUGUAUUUGUGAGUUCAUUAAUCAAGUAUUUGGGUAUUUUCUUGUGAAUCAAUUGUGUUAAGUUUCUCAGAGAUGGUGUCAUAUUUUCUUUUCGCUUAGCAUAAUUUUUUUUCCCCAAAUCAUUUGCGCCCAUCAUUCCGCGAUUCGUCAUUUCGCGAUCGCCAUAUUCACGUCCUAGCUCAUAUCCGCACUUGUGAGGAAAUAUUGUGAUCGAUUUGAUUUUGUGCACAUCGGUCCAUAUUCGUGAUUUGAUUUUCACUCUCGUUCGCGAUUCCGAUUUGAUUGUCUGUACUCGUUUCAUUCAUUCACGUAUGCAGAUUGCGUGUAGAGAUCGUUCGUUGCAGAUCGUUCCGCGAUAUCAUUUUGGAUCUGAUUUCGCGGAUUAUGUAUUGCUGCCGAUUUUAUAGGUAUAUUUUAUUAUCGAUUUCAUUUUAGGGAAAAAAAUCGUUGUGAUCUGCAUCCCGGAUUAUCUUUGUUCGUUUACGUGUUGCUGAUUUUAUUUUAGAGGUAUAUCUUAUUAUAAAUUUGUUAUAUUUGUUGUUAUAUCAUUUUAAAUAUAUAUUUUAUUACCAAUUUCAUUUCAUUCUAUAUCGUUGAAAUUAUUGCUGCCGAUUAUUGCGAUUUACGAUCUUGCAAAAAAAAAUUUUUGCAUCUGCAUUGGUGUUGUAAUUUUGCUUCGCGAUUCUAGAUUUCGCAUUAUGCGAUUGGAUUUAUCACAAUUUUGAAAUCUGCAUUCUCUGAAUUUCUUAUUUUUGUAUUCGUUUGGUUAGUUGUAUCAUUUUAUUUAUUUAUUUUUAUUUUCUUUUUCGUGUUUAUAUUUUAGUUACUUACAAAGUCUUCUCUAUUGCAACUAUGGCUCAUGCGACCACAACAUCUGCUGGAUCUGCUGCAUCCGCUGCAACUGCAAGCAACAGAGAGUCGAUUCUUCCCGACUCAUUGCUAAAAUAUUAAGUUACACAUCACAUUCGCACACCACUGGAAGGUUUUAAACAAAUCAAAGACAUAGACUAUGGGCUAAUCUAUAGUUUAGUAGUUAGAUCUUCAACAGUGAGAAUCUUACUAUAUAUCUCUUGCUGUAAAUAGAAAUUACAAAUUAAGGUAAAUAGAUGUCAAAAAUGCUUUUCUACAAGGUGAAUUGCUCGAAACAGUCCAUAUAUCACAACCACCUGGAUACACUACAUCUAGGUCACCAGACCAUGUUUGCAAACUAAAUAAGGUCAUUUAUGGACUUAAAUAAGCCCCCAAAUUAUGGUUCACCAGGUUAAGACAUUUCUUAAUUCUGAAUAAGUUUUCUAACAGUCUUUGCUGACUCAUCAUUAUUCACUUAUCAUAAGGAAAAUAUUUUGAUAUGGUUGGUGGUUUAUGUAGAUAACAUUAUAAUUACAGGUAAUAAUGCCAAUGAGAUUGAGAAUUUUAUAAAAAUUUCAUGUGAGGAAUUUAAAUAUAGAGACUUGGGCAUUCUAAAAUAUUUUCUAGGGAUGGAAAUUAAAUAUAAUCAUGAUGGCAGUAUUGAUAUGAAUCAAUCGAGGUAUGCUUUAAAAAUCUUGUCAAAAUACAAUAUAUUGCAAUGCAAGCCUUGAAACUCACCAGUAACACCAAAUUCAAAACUUAGGAAAUAGAGUGACCUUUUAACAGACAUCACAAACUAUAGAGCUCUAGUAGGCUCUUUGCAAUACUUGUCACAAAUAAGACCAGAUCUAACCUAUGCCAUAAAUCAAGUGGCUAAGUUUAUACAUGAACUAAGAACAGAACACCUAAUAGAUGCUAAGAUCUUAAGAUACAUAAAGGAAACCCUAAGUAAUGGUUUACAUUUUAGAAGAACAUCACAACAAAAUAAGAUAAUAGGAUACUGCGAUGCUGAUUUUGUUGGAGACUUAGACUUUAGAAAAUCAACAACCGUUUUUUAUGUUUUUAUUAAAGGAAACCUGGUAACCUAGGUUUCAAAGAAACAAGAAGAUAUUGUUUCUCGAUCAAGUGUUGAAGCUGAAUACAGAACUUUGGAAGCUCUGGCAGCAGAAAUUAGAUGGAUAAGUUUCAUAUGGAAAGAUCUUAAUUAUUCAAUUUAUAAUGUACCACAACUUUAUUGUGAUAAUAAUAUAAUAUAUCUUUUAUAUUUAUGGCUGAAAAUCCGGUAAUUAAACAAAAAUCUAAACACAUAGAAACUGAUAUUCAUUUUAUUCGAGAAUUAAUAACCAAAGGACAUAUAAAAGUAGAUCAUGUAUGUUCAUCUCAACAAUUGGCGGAUCUUUUUACUAAAGACGUUUCAUAUAAUAUUUUUAAGAAUCUGAUGAUACCCCUGGUCCAUCAGACCAGCAGGCCAACCCCGAACCAAGACCUGCAGGCCCACUUGGCUUAACAGGCCGUGCAGAAGAGAAGGUCGGAUCAGACCUAGAAGAGAAGAUCCAGUUUAGUAGAAAAGUAUAUAAAUACCCUUAGGGGUUGAACGUAAUAGGGGAGAACAUUGACUUGAUAAACUCACAUUCAACAGGGAAGCAUUGUUACAAGAUAUACGCAACAGGGUAGAUCGAGAGGACGGCGAGGAAGUCGAUAGAGAUGUACCUGAAACGUCGACGGAUACUGGCAAGAUGCAGACGACGUGCCGGAAGAUGACGGUGUGGCUGAUACUUCAAGUGACGUAGAAAUGGAAAGAAGACCUAAAUCAGAUGUGGAAGUAUUUAAUAAAGAGCAGGGAACAGUUAAACGGGCCAGGCGGGCUCCCAUUCAUUUUAAAGAUUUUAAAAUGAAUUAAUUAGACUUAUUUCAGUAUUCAGACUAUUUAUAAACAUUGUAAACCUAAUUUUAGGGAUUAUCUCUUAAUAAAAUUAUCGGCAUUUGUGCCUCCAAACAAGAGGGCACGGUCCCUCUUGGUAAUUACGAUUUCCAUUGCUAUUUUUAGUGCUUUUGGCUUGGAUAUUUUGGUGUUUGCAGAUCAAGGGCUGAUUCACCAUCUAUCAAUGUUGUAAUAGAGAAAGAUUUUCUGGUAUUCGUUUGAUACUAAACAAUCAGAAUCUCUGCAGGUCUUUGAAAUUCAGAUGUCAUCGGCCAAGUAAAGGUUUAUAAAAAAAUUCAGAACACUAACUUAGCAAAUUUUUUUGGGGUUGUUUACAGAUUAACUAGAAAGAACAAACCAGAAGAAAGAAAAUAAUAAAGAUUUCUGAAUAAAUUAUAUUCUAGAAUACAGAUUUCACAUAAAAGUAUUAUAUGAACAUAUAAUUUAAAGUCUUUAAUAUAUACAUUCAAAUUGCAAUAUUACAUGAGUACAUAAGUGGACAGAUAAACGGAGUAAAGGUUUUUUUCCCAGAAUUUUAAAGAUGCAAUGCACACUUGGUUUUUUAAUCCAUAUAUUGUUAUUUUACACUUCAACAUUAUCUCAUUACAGAUUGCAAAUUUUCGAGGGGGGUGUAAGAAGACAAAUCUGCUAUAUAGUUAGUAACUGCAAUAAGGAGUUGUGUAAGUAAAUAAUAUAGUUAGUUAGUGACAAAACAUAUGCUAUAUAAUCAAUAAUAUUUGUUAGUUAUUUAAUCAAGUGUGUUAAGUUUCUCUGAAAGUAAUGCUUGCCAAGAUUCUACAGAUUUGUAGACUCCUGUCACCUAAAUUUCUCCACAAAUAGUCUUGGGUAUUAAAGUUAUUUUGAAUCUUGGGGAUACAAAUAGAUAGAAAAUUUAGGUGAAGAAAAAAUACCCAAAUGGUAUUGGGAAAACAGAUACAAACAAUCUUUGUAAAAACAGAAAAAAUACCCAAAUGGUAAAGGAACCAAAGAUGGAUUAUGGAAUCUGACCUUGAAGUUGUCGGAAUGGACUGGAGGUCUAUCCCUCACCACACUGUUCGCUGGACAGGAAGUAUCGCCUUCGCCGAAUGGAAGUAUCGCUCUCGUAGGAUCUCGGUAUCGCUGGUCCAGACUCUCACUCAAAACUCGUUGUUGGUCACGGAAUCAACUUGCCGCUU
Molecule: long non-coding RNA, 17755 nt
Filed under: Zostera marina
Lineage: Eukaryota; Viridiplantae; Streptophyta; Magnoliopsida; Alismatales; Zosteraceae
Description: long non-coding RNA (ZMAR_LNC000463)
Source: RNAcentral